RNAcentral lists this ribosomal RNA (433 nucleotides) under uncultured bacterium. Its description in RNAcentral is "partial 16S ribosomal RNA". It matches the Rfam family "Bacterial small subunit ribosomal RNA", at positions 29 to 507 of the family's 1533-position model. The record is from RNAcentral.
AACGAACGCUGGCGGCAUGCCUAACACAUGCAAGUCGAACGAGACCUUCGGGUCUAGUGGCGCACGGGUGCGUAACGCGUGGGAACCUGCCCUUAGGUUCGGAAUAACUCCCCGAAAGGGGUGCUAAUACCGGCUAAUGUCUUCGGACCAAAGAUUUAUCGCCUUUGGAUGGGCCCGCGUUGGCUUAGCUAGUUGGUAGGGUAAAAGCCUACCAAGGCGACGAUCCAUAGCUGGUCUGAGAGGAUGAUCAGCCACACUGGGACUGCGACACGGCCCAGACUCCUACGGGAGGCAGCAGUGGGGAAUAUUGGACAAUGGGCGAAAGCCUGAUCCAGCAAUGCCGCGUGAGUGAUGAAGGCCUUAGGGUUGUAAAGCUCUUUUACCCGGGAUGAUAAUGACAGUACCGGGAGAAUAAGCUCCGGCUAACUCCGUG